This 28606-nucleotide long non-coding RNA is filed under the name Monomorium pharaonis (pharaoh ant). RNAcentral's name for it is "uncharacterized LOC118647857". The record is from RNAcentral. Lineage: Eukaryota; Metazoa; Arthropoda; Insecta; Hymenoptera; Formicidae.
AUCACAAAAUGUAAUAUUAAUAAUAAAAAAUAAUCACGUUAAAGAGAAGUAAUAUAUGUGUAUAGAGAAGUGUAUAAUGUUUUAUACGGAAUGUAUAAAGCGUUUAUUAAUUAUCUGGUCUUUUUCCGUUGUUCCGUGUUGUUAAUGUUGAUUCGAUCGUAAAAUUAAUAAAAGAAAAAUGAUUGAUUUCGUUUUCUAUGAUAUAAUGUUACAUAUGUAUAUAAUAUUCAAAUUAUAUAUAGAUAAUUUCAAUGUAUAUGUAUAUACCUGAGUAGACCAGAGCGAUUUUUCGACGUCGCUCGCGCGGGAUCGAGAAGAAAGAGGAACGCGAGCAGAAACACGGCUGUCGAUAAAUAUUACACGGUCAUCGGGUUAUCGGGGAGCGUAGAUUGCGAUGAACGGGACGAUAGGCAUUUCUCGGGGGUGUCUUUUUUAUUUUUUUUUCAUUCGCAUCCUCUCCGCCUCCGCGCGAAGGCCGCGCGGCGGACGUCGAGAUGUUGGCGCGGUGAGGGCACGGAAUACCUUUCGACGAUUAUUAUCGCGGCCUGCGUCAUGUAUCAUGUCGUACUACAAGCCGUGAUGGUGGAUAUAUAUGUGUAUACAUAUAUACAUAUAUAUAUGCACAGAUUCGCACACAUAUGCAUACGGGAUCUUUUGCGGAGGCUAGGUUCCUCUACGCGAGGGCCCGUCCUUGCGUAAGUCGACGCUUCGGCCCGCGCCGGGCAUUAUCGACGUCGGAAUAAAAGCAAAUCGAUGGAACAGGCCUGACCAUUUGCUAUUUGUCGCCGAGAAAGAGAGAGAGAGAGAGAGAGAGAAAGAAAGAAAAAGAGAGAGAAAAGCUUCAUAAAUCUCCAUGCGCGAACGACGUGCUCUCCCGAGAGCGGGGAGACUUUAUGUCAUCCGGUCCUUCUGCUGCGAGAGGACCAUGCGGUGGAAGGUGAGAGUCUCUCCUUCCCUUCGUUCAUCAUCGGGUUCCUGUCUCGUAACCGGACCGGGGACAGAAUGGAAAUCGCCCGGUGAAAGCACAAUCGCGCUUUCGGUCGCGGUAAUAAUCCCCGAUAACGCGUUCUCGCGCCGUGUAAUCGGAAGGAUUACGACGAGGGGAUCGUUCUCCCAACUGCGCCGUUACGUCCACGUCUAGUAAUAAAAUCAGGAUUAGUUUAGAAUUAAAUGCCUCCAUAUUAAAACAGACGUUAAGCCGUUCAAUUUGCCGCAAACGGUACUUCCUUCUUUCAUUUACUGCCACGUGUUUAUCCGUUCAACAUCAAUUUAUCUUCCAUUAAGCAUAUUAGACUUUUCACGAAUCUGUCUUUAUUUAAUUAAAAUAUUUAUAAAUUUUUUUUUCUUUCUAGUUUUUCAGUAUAUUAUACAAAUUAAUGUGUAGUAUAGUGUCCUCGUACAAACUUGUGGCGAAGUUUUACAAGCUGCUUGCCCGAGCAAUGACGUAUUUCACGAUCGCGCACAGUGUCCUUGCGCAAGAUGGAAUUUUGUGGAUACGAAUCUCACAAUUGUGUUUUACAAAAUGUGUUCCGGUAAGUUAAUUUUCUAUUACAAGGACGCCUGAUUGCCCGGUCUCAUUCCCGGCGUGAGCGUCGCCGCAAUCGUGCUCGUUGCACCGAUGCGUAAAUUAGCCAGACAGUUUCCUAAGCGAAAUCGGCGUCGAAGAACGGUUUAUCGCGUAAGGACGACUUGUCGGAGACCUCGCUCGACAGGAUUUAGGAGGGGAUCGGCCGAUCGUUCCUCGAAAUGUCGACCGCCAGUGAUCGAGAUCACGCACUUCACGGCUGACUGCGUGUUCUUCUGGGUUAGGGAAUUACUCGUGCAGGCGUGAGCGGCAAACACCGGAGGCAACAAAAGUGAAACUCGCAAACUGAGAGGAAGAAACAGAGAGAGACAGAGAGGAGAGAGACACGUCGCAUCGUUCCCGACUUCGCCCGACCUAAUCCUACAACGAGAAAGAUACGAUCUAUGCAUCAUUGUACACGACAGUCGUUGAAAUUAUAUAAGAUGCCAUUUUCACUCUCGCACCCGCACAACGGCCACUGCAAAAAUGUUAAGCCGUUCUGUAAAUCUCUGCGAGAAAAUGAACGGAGAGUAACGAUUCAUUGUACUUCGGAAACUUAAGAGCUUCUAGAAUUGUCAUAAAUAGCAUAUCUCAAAUUUUAAUAGCGGAAAACAAAAGCACAUAUUUUUUAAAUAGAAUGUCAUUUUAAUAAAUUAUAAUAUUUUGUUUUGCUUUGAUUUUUGUAUUUAUUUCAUUUUUUCACUUCAAAUAAUUCAAAUGUGAAUUUAAUUCUCAAGAUAUUGAGAAUCAAUUUAUUUGAUUCAAACACUCUUCUUUCUUUUUUUUAAACUAAGAUACUUCUUGGUCAAUCGAGUUUGAUACAAUGUUGUAUCCGAAAGUAGAAAGUAAGAAAAUAAUGAUUUCCUGCACAAUACCUGUGCUAAAGAAGGAGUGUAAAUUUGUCGUAGAAGUUUGAAAAAGUCAGCAGAAGGAAAUACUCCGUAGAGUAGUAAAUUACCUUAGCAAUCUUUUGUCUUUUCAGUACAUCCGUCUUCACGGCCCUAUGGUCGGUAGUGUGAGUGCCCAUGUUCGCGACCCUUAUCGCGCCCAUCGCGGCGGAAAACGGUAGACGUUUGCUUGAGAACGAGAAACGUACUUUUCCCGGUUCUUUGGAGCUCUCUGAAGGAGAGAGGAGGGGGAAGAGAAUUUCGUCGCGUCUCGCUCGCCUGCAAUUUCGCGAUCUUUAACUAUGUCGGACUACAAUGUUCGCCCGUUGUUGCGAGACCAUACGGCGUCCUCGUGUAUGUCGCUCGCACGGAGCGUUCGCAUUCACACGACGCGGAUUCCCAUAUCAGAUAUUCAUCUUUCUCCGUGAAAGAGAGAGGGAGAGAGAGAAAGAGAGAGAUUUUGCCAUCGAAGACGACGCCAUUGUGCGUCCCAGCCCCCGUUGCCAUAAUUCCGUGGGACUCUCUCGUUACGAAAUGCCACCACGGGGUCCCGAUGCUUCCGUCCGUGCAUUGUGUCACGGGCGUAUGAAAUUCAGUCGGUGUCGCAAGAUAGAACAGCCCACUCUCGAUGUUCCGUAACGGUAGUAAAGCAGCAGCGACAGCGGUAAUUUUAUGUUGCCUUGGUAUAAUACCAAAGUCCCCGAGGCGCGUGCGCGCGGAGAAAAAAGUUACAUAAAACACGUAGGAGAUAUGAACAAUAUAAGGGCAUGUGCACGAGCGUGAAAGCGCAUUUCGGUACGACGAGCAGCGCGCGCGAGCGUAAAAUGAACGGAUGGAUAACGAAGGUCAGAACAGAAAGCUAAUUAUUAAAGCAAGCAAAGUUACUUAUUGUUUACCUGAAUGCACACGAGAUGGCGACGACCGAUACGGAUGUCGAGGCAAACGAGCAGUUGUAUAAGCGAAACGUAAUGGAAAUAUUAAUUCGCACGCAUACGCUUAAUGAGGCGUAAUUGUGAGCGGCGGGAAAUAAUAGUGUAAUAUUUACGUAACGUCGCCGCUAUUCAAUCAGCCGUGCGAAGCAGCUCUCUUUCCUCGUAAAUAACGACGAACGCGUUGCUGUCUCCGGGGAAGCGCGUCAAAGCGAUACACAACUUGCCGUAUUGUUUUGUACACCUUUCGCAUUCCGAGAGAAAUCAAUGGGAUAGGUGCCGUGUCAUUGAGCGGCGUCAAAAAGUAUCGGUUGUUUCAGAAAGAGACCUAAGAAAGUGUUCUUUGCGUAAAUGACACUAAAUUAUGCAAACACGCCGCUUAUCGCGGGAUCUAAGGAGCCUACUGAUCACUGAGAUCCGAGUGUAACGGAGUGACUUUACAGGCUCUGAAACAGGUUCGGUAAGUCCGAGAUAAGUCCCGGUAGAUCCUCCAAAACAAGCACGUCUGUCACCCUAUUCUUAGGGUCGGUUAAGAUCGGCCGUACAAAAAUAUCGUAAGAAUAGCCCGCUAACGAGAGUUUCGCACAAAUCAACCUCGGGUAGAUCGGCCGCGCGAUUAGUUAAUUCCGGCGACGGUAGGCGCAAUUACCCAACGAUCGUGCCGCUCGCGCGCGAAUCGCGAAGGUGAGACCUCCGAUAGCGCAGCGUUAGCGAUGCAGCGCGCGUUGCAACGGCGACGGGACACAUUGGGAUCGUAAUGUCGCGGGACAGUGACAUAGCGUCGGGAAUGCCGCGCGACCUUAGCUCCGAGAGGGAUAGAGGGGUGGAGGGUGGCGGGCAGGGAAGACUGAUUUAUAACGAUUUUAAUAGAAAUAAAGGUGCACUUCGCGCACGGAGAUAACACCCGGCGACAAUGACGCAUCGCCGGGAAUGCAUUUGGCGCCUUUUCAGCGCGCGCGUCCCGCGCGAAAUUUCCAUUUUCGCGCUUGUCGCGAGGAAAUCAGAGAAACGCGGCCGGAGAACCGAAAGAAACGAGAUACAAACGCUCGCGCGGUUGCGGUCUUCGCGUCGCCGCGACGCUGACUAAAUCACCCGCGAGAAUCUCUCGCGAUGCUGAAUGUUGCACGUGCGAGUUGGGAAAGCCAAAGAUCAUGUACCUUGAAAUUCUCCGAUUUUUAAUUAUCCGUACGGGAUACAGAAUCCUGCGGUUGCAUUGCAGCAGCACUAAUCUUGGAUAUUGCAGUGCAACGCUCUCAGAGAAUUUGUUAAAAUACAGAUAUGCAAUAUAAACAAAAUUUCUUUUAUGCAAAAUUGCAUUUAAAAACGAGUCAAAUAUAAUUAAUAUUAUAAUAAUAGAUGUUAUUAAAUGUGCAUUGCAGAUUCACUUGCAAGUUCACAAUUAAUUUCUUAACUUUUGAUUUAAAUUAAAAACCUUAUCGGUAGAAAAAAUUUUUUUUCAUUGUAACAUUGCAGUAAUUUUACAACAUUCUGCAAAGGCUUGCAAACGUUUUUGCAAUGUUGCAAUAUUGUAUUAAAAUAUUUUUACAAUCAUUCUGUACGAGUAGCGAUAUUUUAUUAGCGUAUUUUUAAACAUUGAAACACUUUCCUGUCGCCUCGAGGAAUGUUCAAAGCCCGACAACUGUGUAUUUAGAUCGGUAUUAAAGAGAAAUUUCUCACAUAUACCGAAAGUCUCGCAUAUUGUGAAUCUGAAGAAAGUCCACGAAUUUCUCCGGCUUCCGUGCGCGGUAUAUUACCCGCUACUCCACUUAUUCCUCGUUAUUAUGUGCCGCAUGUCCUAGAGAAUGAUAAAUGAGGUGAUGUAGGAGCGGUCUCGUGCGUUUGCGUAUCACCGGCCCGCGUCGUCAGCGUGCGAUUAUCGUGACCGAGAAAACCGGGUCAGUUCUCCACGGACAAUUACCGAUACAAAUGCGCAACAGGUUGGCUGAAAUGGGCGCGGCAAGUAUCCGCGAAUUUUGCCUGUCUUUCGUUUUGAGUAGGAAGCGGAUGCCCUUAUGACGUUCGACGUUGCGGGAAACGACGCAUAGCAGAACUGUUAACUGCUCAUAUAACGAGAACGAGUAGAACCUCCGAAGUGCCAGUACAGAGACACCACAACUUCAUUCAAUCUUUGUGCACUUAAGAACAGGAAAUGAAGAAAACGUGACUGAAAGGAUAUGUCGGAAAGAUAUGUUUUUCGAUUGUGACCUGACUUAGAUAUUAAAUGUCUUCCAUGCGCCAUUUUUACGCGAUUGUCCAUUCAAGUCGCGUGUACCAAUGUGAUGCACUAUAGAGAGUAAGAUGUAUAAUUUUGAACAUGGUAUAAAAAAAGGAAAGAAUUUUCUAAGUAUGAUGAUUCUAAUUUCAGUCGAUGUAAUAGUCAUUUGUUUAUUAAUCUGGCUGCAUAAAAAAUUGUAUAGCAAAUUCUUUCUUUUUGUUCAACUUCAAGUAUACAAGUGUUCAAAUAUUUAGACAUAAAUCUUAACGAGUAUGUCAAAUAGUGUUUUGUAAUACUAUUAUUUCUCUCUUUAUACAAUGUUUAUACUGCAUGUUCAGAACUGUACGAUACAUUUUUUAAUACUUUUCAAGAAUAAAAUAAAUCACAAAUUGGAUCAUGUUAUUUUUUUUUAUAUUCAGGUGUUAACUAAUUCAGAUUGUAAGCUUUCUAAUUGUACUAAUUUAAGUGUUUGUAUUUUGUAACCAAAAAUAAAAAAAUAUUUAAAAAAUUCAAAAUUGUAUCACCUUAAUUGUAUCCUCUAUGAUUACUAUACUACAUGUCGUAUUCUACAUAAUCGUAACUUAUCAAUCAAUGGUAUCAUAAAAUAUUAAAAAAAAAAAAAAUAAUGGAGAAUUAAUAGCAAGAUUCUCCCAACGUACUGAACAUAUCAAGUCGGUUUUUUUUGUUACCUUGAUUUAAAUUUAUGAUAAAGUAUGUAGUUUUAUACUCACAAAUUCUUAAGCGGCCUGAAUGGAAAUCGUGGGCCGGGUCAAUGUUGUACGCAGCAUGGAAUGCGUUAAGAUCAAACCGUAACGGCGAGGUGUUGUUAGGAAUUCGUUGUUCUCGUGACCUCACUUUCGCCUGAUUUGUAGGUGACAGAGAAGCGUGCCCCGAUUCGAAUAAUGUAUGUAAACGAGAGAGUGCAACGUGACCUUCUCUGCUCCGUAGUCUAAAUUAUACAGGUUCCUCAUCCGUUAACCCCGAAACUUCGAGGCGACCUAUUACGUGGAGACCUCGCUUCUCGUGACUUCCACGAAAGUGAAAUACUACAUUGCAAACUCGUUCUAACGGUGCGAGCGAAUUAAUUUGCAUCUGCGACGGGAAAGGAGAUAUCACGCAAUUUUCACCCUCAUAUUCGUACCGUCACGCAUAGUCCGAGCUGCUUGAAUUAACUGAUAAAUCGAAACUCGCUCCAUGAGCUCCGACUAUAUAUCCCUCAAGAAAAGAAAAAUAAUGGAGAAUUAAGAGUAAGACCCUCCCGACGUACUGAACAUAUCGAGUCGGUUUCUUUUUUGUUUGCCUUGAUUUAAAUUUCGAAUUAGAAGUCAUGUAGGAGGCGAUGAAAGGGUUAACGGGAUGUAUCCCGGCGUAGUCGACACGUAAGAUCGAAGUUAUUGAUAGGCGAACUAACGGUUGGGAAUCCAGUUAAACCUCGUCCAGCAAGCGGAAGAAUAUCCCGAAAUUACGACCUUGAUUAUCGCCGUGUGUUACAUUGCGCGAGUCCCGCUUCGAUCGCUUUAUCCUGUAAAUCCCGCACGAGUAUCACGUACCAUAACACGUACAGCGCGCGUAUUCGGUUUCACGUGUAUGAUGAUUUCAACUAGCCGCGCGCUAAAUAGCCGCCGCGAGCGAUGAAGCGUUACACACAGCGACGUAAACCACUUCAUUCGCCCUUAAUACGACGUUUCGUUUCGCCGGACGGGAAAACGACGACUUCCUCCUUCUUCUCCUCCGUCGUGUUGUCGACUCGGUCCAUCGAGUCGCCGCCACGUCGGAUGGAUAACCGUUGUCCUUUGCGCCUUGGCCUCUCCCCCCGGGUACCAUAGCUAGGGGCCACCCACCGCGACGGAUAAUUCCCCGUGCAAUUUCCCGUGCUUUACGCGAAUUAACUAGCGGCACUCUCGACGCGCGCGCGGCUUGAUUAAUUGCGACCACGACGGCGCGGCGUUACUUUCGCGUCGCCUAUUCUUAAUCUCCGCCGCGUCGUAUCCCAUGAAAUCGCGCCGUAACGAACGCCGAUAGAAAUAACUGUACUGCAACUAUAUUAAUGCCCCGGCACCGCGCCAGCGUGCACUCUCCCCCCAUCGGCCCGUUGCAAACAAAUAUAUAUUUUAAAAAAUGUAACAAAAUUAAAAUGUAAUUGCUUGAAGAAAAUAUAGAUACUUGAACAAGAAAAACGACAUAUUUAAAAUGUUAAAUUAUAUACAUAAACCAUUACGUAAAAAAUGUCAAAAGUUAUACAGUACAAUAACGUAUAAAUAAAAAUAUACAUUUAUUCCAUUCUUCCUCUAAUUUUAUCUACUCUAAUUAAUUUUAAGUAAAUAGAACAAUCAAGUGAAUGUUUUUAUUAUAGAAUUAACUUUAAAUUUAACAAUUAAAAUUAAUAACGUACUGAUGCUAAAACUUUUGUUAUUAAUAUCUAUAUUAAUAACAAGUAAUAAGAAAGUCAUAAUCUAAUUUGAAAAUGAAUAUAAUUCCAACUAAACUUUUUAUUUCUAAUGUACUAUUAAUUCUUCAAUAAUAAAUAUUAAUUACUUAUAUAAUUAAUCUGUUACUAAUUAUCGUUUAAUAAAAUAAAACCGUUAAAUAUUUGUUUAAUGAAAGUAUUUCAGAUCGUUCUAUAUAAGUUGAAAAAUUUUUAAUCACAAUAUUGACGUAUACUUUAGAUUAUAUUUUUACCUCUGUAUGAAAAUAUGUUUAGACUGCUCGUGUAUAAAGAUUUAAACAAUAUAUUCUUCCCCCUUGCGACGCAAGGGGGAGGCCGCGCGGCGCAAAGGCGAGCGGGCAAUGAUGACGUUACAGCUGAUUUCAAUCACGCGUUCCAGCAUAAAGGAUCCCGGCGAGCCCUUCCGCGUCCGCAGGCGCCGCGGCGUGAUGGAAAUCAGUGAUCCUUUCACGCAGCGCGCCAGAAGCCCUCUUAAAAGGGGAGCGCGCUCCAUUUGCAUCUACCGGGCGGUGAUCUAUAGAGUGCAGGGAAAGAUGAAUGGUCCGAUAAAGAGGGCAAGCGGCGGUCGGGAUGGCCGCCGAGGGGACGAAGGCGGUGAUGUUUGAGAGUACUGACCCACGUUUACGAUUCGCGCGAGAAAAGCCACUCCUCUACUUCCUCUUUCGACCCGCGAGAAAACGAAUCGGGACACAAUUAUCGCGCCGCAUUGUUAAGAUUCACCUACGAACUCCUUCUUACGUAUAAGCAGUCGUAAGCGCGAAAAUUCUCUCAACCAACGACGAUGCCGGCAUUAUCAAUUACGGAAGCGACAGCCAAUAGAGAGAGAAAAAGAUGUUGAAACAGAUGAAAUAAAAAGAUGAAACUCAAAAUGACUGAAAAUAAAAAUAAAAGUAUUAUGGAAAAAAACGGUGCGUUUCACACAAGGACCAACAAAUGAAAGCUUUAUGCCGGUCAACCAUCGGAAGCGCUUUGACUCGUGAAUUCUCUGCUAAGUAAGAACUCUCAAAUAAAGUUAUAAAAAAUUGUAAAAGUAGUAUGAAAGUUGUGAUGUUGCAAAUUAUAUGAAAUUAAAUAUUUAUUAAUUAUUACGCUAUUCUAUUUUUUCUUGUGUUUCGAUUUUAUUCGCAUCAUAUAAUUGGCUUAUAUGUUAUAAUGUUAUCUUUGUUGCAGAACAAAAUCCAAUUUUUCGAAGACAAGCGUAACUCAAAGAUCAAGUCCUUCAUCUUCUUCACAGUAACAAUAUCCAACUUUUUGGGAAAGAGAGGGAUUCAGAGACCAAGUUCAUCACCUUCUCGACCAAUAAUAAUAUCUAACUUCCCAAAGAAAAAGUGCAAUUCAAAAGCCAAAUCUUCCAUCUUCUCCAUCAAUAAUAAUUACUAUUGAUGGAAUUGUGAUGGCCGUUCCUCGAUAUAUCCACUUUUGAACCAGGCGUACUUGAAAAGAUUAUGAAAUCGCGGAGAAGAUAUCGUAAUUAAUAUCGUAAUUAAAUAAUACGACACGAUCACUGAACGUUCUUAUAAAGUUUUUCCAAAUUCUGAACCCAUACACAUCAAGAAGUUGAAUCAUUCCCGUGACCUUUUUUGGUAUAGUUAAAAUUCGCAGCACUUGCAUGUGUCAGCAGCGCAAGAAAAACGAUUCUCAUGUAUUACUGAAUAAUACUCGCGGCACCUACGGUGACAAUUACUGCACGCCCGUAUACGCUCAUCCGUGGAGCUCAUCUCGCGCAGAUAACGACGAAAAAAGUGCCGAAGGCGUCGUGUCCGGGCAACAGAAAAGAGAUACAACGGCGGCGCAGUUCACGUACAACGUUUCCUGUUACCUGCUAUACCUACGAGGCUGCUGCUACACGUGGCCGUCCGUUCUAUCUCCGGACCGGACAAUUUGCUUCGCAACCCCGAGAGAUUUAUGCGAAGCGGCGAACAGUACGAGUACUGUUACCUUCUGCCUCGCGGAAUCACACGGACGCGAAGGGGAGAGGAGCUCGCGUUCAACCCGUGCAGUUCUCUGUUUCCCUGUUUCGGAACUGCUCGUAGUACUCGCUGGUCGUCACGUCUCUCUUGAACUCAAUAGAUAACGUUGGAAGGAUUGAUCGUCUUACGAGACAAGCUCAUUAUCCGUAUCGUUCUUUUUUUUUUAAUUUAUCUUAUAAAUAUUCUCUUCUCAUUAUUCCGAAAUAAAUACACAACUUAAAAAAUAAUUUUUCUAUUUAUUCUAUGCUCCGUUUAUUUCUUUUUUGUCCUAUUUACCGCAUUUUUACUUUUCAGUCUAUCUAUUACAUUCUGAUCAUCUUGUUUUUGUUGCAAGCUAGUUCCAUGGCAUCAGCAUCUUCGCUGGCAUUUCACUAAGCAAAUGCGAGUGCAUUAAUUGUUGUUCCGCGUAUUUUAUUUAUUUUAAUUUAUUUGCGGAACAAAUAAUUAACGUGACUAUUCAGUUGAUCGAAUUUAAUUAUUUUAUUUUCUCAAGCGUGACCGAUGUAACCGCGCGCAGUCAAUAUCGACUCGAGACAUAUCGAUUGUACGCGGGGGUCGACGAUUUAUCCGAGAUUCGGAAGCGCCAUCACAGGAGAUAAAUAGAAGGUCAAGAGCCCGCUGCUCUUCACUUCUUCCGUGUACGCGACAGCGAGUAUAUCUUUAUCCGCAAGUGAAUCUGUGCAAUCAAGAAUAUUCGGUCAAGAGCGCGAAUUACCUCACAGGGGUUUAGAGUCAUUUACACGUGUAUUUCAAUUUCAAUAAUUAAGUGAGCAAGGUGUUCAUAUACGGGGCUUCGGCCUAUUUAAGGGAAUAUUUCUCGACUUGUCUUCACUCGAAAACGGAAGACCACAUGCGAUUCAUAUACGAAUAAAUUCAUAUACGAUUUUAUAUGAUACGGGGCCCCGAUAAUUAUAGUGGUACUACGACAUGCGAUAUAUACGAUCUUCAUGAUCUACACGAUUAUACGUACAAUACGACAUAUAUGAUCUUCAUGAUCUACCCGAUUAUACGUCUCACUAAUUAAUAUGAUAAUACGAUUUCUAUAAUUGUGUCUAAUCUGGGGUUUUUAUGCCGCAAGGCUUUUCCCCACAAGCCAAUAAAUCUUCUAAGAUAUUGGCUCAAACCCACGCAUUUUGAUUUAACAUUUCCCUUCCUAUCCGAAACCACGAGAUCUCUCCACAAGGAGCAGUUUCGACCCUACAAUUGUUUUUAUUUAUGCUUUUAUUGCAAUUAUUCGACUUGACAUAAAUCAAUCCCGCAUAUAUGCAAUAAAUUUAUUAUUAUUAUUACAUUGCGUGUAAAGUAACGCAUCGAUUCGCAACUCUUGUAUCGGUUAGUAUAGAGGAAGACUAACUCACGCUAUCGGCGAUAAGUAAAUGCGUUCAUAAUCAAACGACUAGCAGGAAUUCGCGUGAGUUGCGGUAUCGGGUCAUCUGAUAUCGCUAUAAUUUACAUUUGAUGGACAUAACGAUCGGCGCUCUCACACGCUCCGCGGACAACGCGCUUCUAUCCUCGCGAUACCCCGCGAUUACAAACCGGAAUAUCGUUACAAGUCGGCCGAGAAUUAUCCUAGAUAACGUCGAUGGCGGGCACCGCGCGGUGGCAAACGGUAUAAAUUCAACGUUACGUGGACGCGUUCGCGGCGAGGAUCUCACACUGGACGGCGACGGCUUUCCUCCCCCCCCCCCCUCCCCGGAAUCGUGGAACUUGAAUGCAUCUAUUACGCUAAUAGCGAUAAUGGCUCGUUUCUGUGCGCAUGCCGACAGCCCAGUCGGCCGCCUCCGUUAGGCGAUACGGCUUGGUUUAUCGUGAGAGGCACCUGCCCGGCUCGGGGUGACCUGAGUUUCAUCGCGCGCAGCGAUGAAGAACGCCAUCGAUCAAGUAUGCGGUAUCCCUGUGCGAAAAUCCGCGCCUGGAAUCUCCCAGUCUUGGCAUUCAGCACGGUGGGAGGUAGAGACCUUUGGGCCGCGCGUUCAACGAAAGCCGUGCUCGCUAUAUAUAAAAAUUGAUUUUCAGGAAAGUGUUUAGCAAAGAUAGUAUAAAAAUUUUAUUGAUGUAUCAGCAAGAUCCUUGCUCAUAUGUUACCAAAUGUGUUAAUGUCACAAUCGUAUAAAACGAGAUAAAGUUUUUUAGAUUAUUUGUAAUCAUAUAAAGAAUUAACAGGAUAAAUAAUGACAACUAAAUUUGCAAAAAAGAAAAUCAAUAAUUUAAGAUCACAAUAUCUAGAUCAGUUGAAUAAAAUAAAACAAUCAAAAUCAAAUGGUGCGUCAACUGAUGAUAUAUAUAAAUCAACUUGAUGGUUGUUCGAAGACUCAAAGAAAAGGAGAAUCUUCUAUAACAGUGAUUUCUAAUCAGAAUCCGAAUUGGAAUCCGAAUCAGAAUCCAAUUUCUCAGAAUGGUCACAAUGUAAUCAAAAUGAAAUAGGAAGUGAGUUGCCCAAAUUCAAAGAAAAGGGAGCCUGCGUCAGUCAGGGCGACUGAGGCAUUACGACUCGCAAUAAAAAUAAAUCCCCUAUUUUUUUUUUUUUUUAAAUAUUUAACAUGCCGUCAACCAAACUUUCAUUGUAGGUUAUUUGACACUUAUAUACAAUGAUAAAUCCCCUAAACCCUUGAAGAGGUUAGAAGGCUCGACUCCUGUGUCGAUCGGGUCCUAGCUCACCUCGCUGAGAGGAUCGACCUGGACCUAGACUUUAUAUACUUAGAUAUAUACGUAUUUCUCUUUCGAAUGUAGCGACGUCAUGAUAUCCCAGAUUCUAAAAUUAUUGCAGUCCACGCAACGUGUGUUGUGAUUUUCGCACGACAACAAAGUAUACGUUAACGUCGUACAUACGCGCGUGUAAUGAUGAAAAUCCUACAUCGUGAGUUACGAGUUGUGAUUAUUUUUAGACGAGAACAAAUUGCGUGCGGCGUAAUGCAAAACAAAUGAGCUUCCGAUCGGAUCGUUAACCGGUUUGUUGUCGUUCUCGAUUUCUACCGAUGCAUUUCUAAGGCAGAGCUGUUCGAGAGGCUCAACCUUCGUGUCUUUUGUGUUGCGUGUCGACAGUAAAGACUUUCUACGCAGCUUCCGACAAUUUAACGUUUCAUUGCACUUUCUCGUACAGAUAAUUUACACCUGGAUCAAUAAUAUUAACCAGAAUAAGAUUAAGAGAUUAUCAUUUAUGUUCCGCGAGUUUUCAAUAUCUGGACGGAACAGACGCGUUAUGAAGUACCCGGAAUCUGGUGACAAAGUUUACUUUGAGACAAUCUAAUUGGCUCAGCUAGCGCGUAUCACGGCAUAGCGGACGGUCGGAGACGGGCCGUGAACUACGACCACUCCCGAGUUUUCGGAAAAUCGCGACGUUGAUUGGCGGGCCGAGAGCAUCGCCGAUUAAGAUAAAUAGAAGACCACUAACUCAGUCAAGACACUUAUUCAGACGCGAACGCGAGUGCAUCUCUCGAACCUCAUAGUGCGGAAUUCAAUAAUCUUCUCACGCGUGGUUUAACCCAUCGUUCAGGUCUCAUUACUUUCAAUCCAAACGCGAGCAAGGUGUAUUACACGGUGCUUCUGCCCACACGUGGAAUAUUUCCACGUAUUCGUAUUUAUGCGAGGCGAAAGCUACGCGAUUACACGUGUUCGGGGCCCCGAAAUCCAUUCGAUUAUACGAUUGCUCUAAGCGAAACAAUUACUCGUUUUACACGAAAUAUCUCGAUUGUGUCAUAUUCUCGUUUCAUACAUACUGUAAACUCUUAAUACAACAUACGUUAUCUGGGGUUUUUAUGCCGCAAGGCUUUUCCCCACAGAGCCGAAUAAGGUUUAAUUCCUUGGCUCUAAAAUCAAUGUACGUUAAUUUUAAACCUUACCCAUCCAUCCAAAAUCACGGAAACUCUCUAAAAGGAGAGGUUUCCACGAUACAACAUGUUAGGUAAAAGCAGUAACGAUCUAGGAAUUAUUAAAAAUGAUUCAAAAAGGAAGAUAAUUCGACACUACAAAUUUAAGAGUGUACGAUUUCUUUGAAUAUUUUUUUCUGCAUUUGUUUAAAAUUUUUUAAUUUUAUUCAAACAGUAUAAUGUUGUACAAAGCAUUAUCUUUACUGAUUGAAAAAGAUAAACAUAUUCUUUUAUUCCAUCAAACAGCUUAUUAAUAAACACAUUAAUAAAUAAUCAAAUCGUAUUUAUUUCUUCAAAUGAAUAGUUUUGUUUGAUUGUUCAUAUAUUUCUUCGUUUUCAAUCAAUUUGAUUUUAAAUCUAAAGAAAUCUUUCUCUCUGGGUAUAAUUAUAAGCACAAUUAACGUGAUUGAUAUGAUAAAUACAUGGCUGGCGAGAUUGAAAAAAAGUCUAAAUCUAUGCACGACAGUUUUAUGAAACAGGCCAUGCUAAAAAAUCGAAUCUGAAAGGUUCAAUCUCGAGUAGACAAGGUGUAGGGCGAGACAAGACCGCUGGCGAUUUUAUGCAACCGUGCCGGUACACCCACGUGCUUCGCGUGAGAGAAAGAGAAGAGGAUUCGUAAUAUUACCUUCCUCCUCACGACCCUUACUCUUAUUUCCUCAUGGUUUUGUCGGCAUUUGAAAAUGCAGGUGUCCGACAUCUAGGAAGAAUCCCUCGGCCGUGACAACGAGAAAAAUCGAAAAACGACGACGAUCGAUUUUUGGAAUUCCGUUUAAAUCCGCAUUGCGGAACAUCGAGGAACAAGUUCGAAGUAACAAAUACUCGCACGCGCAUACGUAAUCCCGAGGAAAAGUGGGUAUCGAAAUACGGGAAGUGUCAGGCAUUUUUCCAUGUUUCCCGAAGAGGGUAGGAGGCAAUCCGCGGCGAUAGAGCGAUAAGAUUUUGUUUUAUAGCGAUUCAUCGGGAAUCUCGAAAAUUACGAGCGACAAGAAACGACGAAACUUACGCUCUCGAUCGUAUCCUCUUUACGACUGUAAUAAUACAACCGUGUUUACGACUGACGGUGAGCUCUCUCUCUCUCUCUUUCUCUCAUGGAAAUGAGAUAGAGCGAGUAGAAAUAAUAAAGUACCUAGGCGUAAUUAUUGAUGACAGACUUAGAUUCAGCUGUUGCUGAUUACAUGCUAAAGAAGAUAGGGAAGAAAAUAAGUUUUCUAAAUAGAAUAGAAAAUUAUAUAUCGGCACAUACUAGAUGUACUAUAUAUAAGACAAUUAUAGCACCUCACUUUGAGUAAGUUAACUGGACUUCGACGAAGUCAUAAUAAAAAGACUUUAUUAAGAUUGUUCCGCGUAUUUUAUUUUAUUUUAAUUCAUUCGCGGAACAAAUAAUUAACGUAAUCAUUUAGUUGAUCGAAUCUAACUAUUUUAUUUUCUCAAGCGUGACCGAUGUAACCGCGCGCAUGAGACGAUGUGAUUGUUGAGGGCGCGCGUAUCGGACGGUCGAUGAGAGCAGUCAAUAUCGACUCGAGACAUAUCGAUUCUACGCAAGGGUCGACGACUUAUCCGAGAUUCGGAAGCGCCACCACAGGGGAUAAAAAGAAGGUCAAGGGCCCGCUGCGAUUCACUUCUUCCGUGUACGCGACCGCGAGUAUAUCUUUAUCCGUGAGUGAAUCUGUGCAAUUGAGAAUAUUCGGUCAAGAGCGCGAACUACCUCACAGGGGUUUAGAGUCCUUUCACACGUAUAUUUCAAUUUCACUAGUUAAGUGAGCAAGGUGUUCAUAUACGGGGCUUCGGCCCAUUUAAGGGAAUAUUUCCCGACUUGUCUUCACCCGAAAAUGGAAGACCACAUGCGAUUCAUAUACGAAUAAUUUCAUAUACGAUUUAUACGAUUCGGGGCCCCGAUAAUUAUAGUGGUACCACAACAUGCGAUUAUACGAUCUUCAUGAUCUAUACGAUUAUACAUACAAUACGACAUAUACGAUCUUCAUGAUCUAUACGAUUAUACGCCUCACUAAUUGAUACGACUUCCAUAAUUUUGUCUAAUCUGGGGUUUUUAUGCCGCAAGGCUUUUCCCCACGAGCCAAUAAAUCUUUUAAGAUAUUGGCUCAAAAACACGCAUUUUUAUUUAAUAUUUCCAUUCCUAUCCGAAACCACGAGAUCUCUCCAUAAGGAGCGGUUUCGACCCUACAAAGAUUGAAAAGACUGAAUGUUCAAAAAUACAAAGAACUUUCCAUAGUAGAAGAAGACUUUAUUUUUAAGAAUGUUAAGCCAUUGUAUGAAUGCGCAUAUAACCUAACUUGAUAUUGUUGAAUCGCGUUGUUUAAUUAAUAGAUAAGGAGUUUAAGAUAAACGAUUUUUUCUCAUUAACUUUCACGUCGCAUGUCAUAUAAUUAAACGUUGCAUGGUGAAAUUUUUUUCUCCUUUUCGCGACCCGUUACCUUUAUACACGAUCGACCUUUGGUCAUCCUUCGCUUUAUCAAUCUUCACUUGAGAAAUAUUUACGAAACAUAACGUUUAUGAAAUUGAGCUGAAAUUGUUUUUCCAGAUAACAUGGACAAGGGCCAGACAAACCGCGGCGGCGGCGGUGGCGGCGGCUCCGACUGCGUGCAUUACAAAGUGAUCGUGUGCCUACGAUAUGGGCACUUGUUCAGCGAGCGCGACGACACGUCGUCGGAGGGAUCCGAUUCGGACGUUGUAGAUUUCAAGUCAAGUCAAGACGGGCAGCGAUAAAAGCCAUGUGUAGCCGCCAAUUGCUGUCAAUGGAUUUUAAUAAGAUUAUUUACUAUUAGCAGACGGCUUACUUAUUAAAAUAUAUUAACAUUGUGGUACAGUGCAAAAAAUGUAGAACACUUUUAGAGUAUAAAAAUGUAUAACAAUCUACCGAUAGAAAUUAAGCGCAGCGAUAGAUUGGAGCAUUUUUAAAGAAAACUGAAAGAGUGUAUUUUAAGUGUAAGUUAAUAUUAAGUUAGUUUGUAAGUUAUUUAAUGUAUUUUGAAAUAGCUGAGAAAGCUAAUAAAUCAAUACGAAUCAAAAUAUCAAUCAAUCAAUCUCCCUCUCCCUCUCUCUCCCUUCGGAACGGAAUAUGAAUCGAGACGCGGAUUUGCAACGUAAUCCCUCGCGCGAUGCAACGACAAUGUACCUACGCCUGGGAAUUGGCGUCUCGGAUGGUGUCUCUCCGUUCGCGAGCCGCGCGUCUCGGGGGUAUCCUUGUAAUUAAGGCGCGCCGCCGCGAGCGUUGUCGGCCGCGAUGCGGAAAAGUGCAGACCGAAACGGAUAAUAAUUGCCCGCGGUCGGGGCCCCGCGCUCGAUACGACAUUAUAAAGUCAUCACGGACGAAGGGGGCACGCGCGUGCUAUUCUCCCCGUGAGUGCCCGGACUCGGUGUGGCGACUUUUUCUCGGGCGGCAACGCGGCCGCCGCCGAUCCGCGGAGGAUCUGGAUCCCUCGACCGACGUGCCGCUCAUCAAUUAUGAGUUACGAUCGCGCGCGCGAGCCUCAAGGUUCCGCCGCCGCGCCGCGCCAGCAAUCUCGGCCUCGGAAUCGAACGCGUCCUCCGCGCCGCGCGCGAGCACUUCUCUUUCUCUCUCUCUCUCUCUCUCUCUCUCUCUCUCUCUUCGAGCCUUUUUCUUCUCGUAGGCUGCGCUGACGAUAGCUAUAAAUCGCCUAUCCCGCCUUUUGGCGAGUAGGAACGGCCUUGAGUGUUUAUUGUCUGCCUCAGGCAGUAAACCCUCUUUUUUAUAGUACUUCGACAAAACAGUCGAUCUCAGAGUUUCCAAUGAAACCUCUUUUUUUUAUCUAUACCACAUCUUUUUUACAAACUACUAGAACAUUACAUUGCGCUAUGCGCGCGCCAUUACAUUACAUUUGUUUAAUUAAUAUAUAAAUGUAUGAAUAAUUUAAUUUUAUUAUAUGGUCUAUUUUAAUAUUAAACUGAUUACUUAAAUUUUGAACUGAUACAAUAAUUAAAAUAAAACAAAUGUUUCUUUAAAUUUAACUAUAUAUAUCAAUUUAACAGUACAUUUAUAAAGAACAGAUCAAAUAUUAAAUUACUCUGAACACAUCCAAUAUUUGAUACUAUUUCGAAUCUGUUUUUGAAGUUUGUCAUUUUUUUUAUUGAUUAAAUAUCUUUAACGAAAAUAAAGAACACGAAGAAUUUAAUUUAAUACUAGAACAACACAUGCGUGCGGAAGUUCAUGCUAACUUCCGUGAUCUCGCAAAAUUCGAUGCGGAACAGCCCGAAUGCAGUUCCGCAUCGACCUAAAUAAAAACCAUACGCGGCACAAGUAAACCGCGAAGCUACCGUGUACCAAUAUCGAAACGCCCAGCCUCGCGGAAGUUGCCCAACGCACCCGGUCACUGGCCUCCAAAAGGGCGGAGAGUAACAUAACAACGUCCGAGUUACGUCGCGUACUACAAAUCUUAUCGCGAGUGAUACUUGACACCGCUACAGCUGACUGUAAGCACCGAAGCAAAGAAAUAAAAACAACGAAAACCAAAUAAGAAGUGUUUUCUUUUAUUCAACCAACGAGACGAACCUUCACCCUUCGGAUCCUAAUCCCUAAGGCAGGACGAAUUCUAACUACUUACGGGAAGAACUCCCGAAACGAGUAAACGCUCACGACAGAAUCAUCAUAAAUAAAAGUGUUUAAGGAUAAAUUCUCUACUACAAUGUUUUCUUUAUUUCAUUUAAUCGAGUGCGUCGCGGGGAUCUAUCGAGAGCUCUCCGCGAUAUAUCUCGUCUAGAUAUUCAGAGCGUAGAUUCUCCAAGGUAUCGAGCGCAAAGGAUUAAAUCUAAGCGCUAUCUGCGGCGCAUCUUAUCCCGGACGAUACAAAAGGAUUAUAUGUAGAGUGGCCGGAUGCGGAUCGGGACGACGGAUCCUUGAGCUAUCGCAUGCGUAAUGUCUUCAUUCAGCCCUACACCUAUCAUAAUCUCGCGAUGAUGAACGAGCGCCCUUUAUGCGAGGACGCAGAACGGAGAGAGAUUAAACGUAGAGUCAUCAAUAGGCUGCGGUCGCAUUAAAUGGCCUGCCGUGUGCCGCGUGCCGCGGAAAAAUCGGAACGAGUCAAUUAGUCCCUCUUGCCCCAGGGGUCAGUUCGGGGUUUUUUUACUCUUUAACGUGUGGUACUGUGACUCUUACUUUGAGUCGGAUAUCCAACGGGGGCCUUUAAAGAAGAAGAGUCAAUUAGUCGCGCUCUACCAGUUCGAUCUGUCACAAUAUACAAAACUCCGUCUCUCUUUUUUCGCCUCUCCCCCUUUCCUGCCCUGUCCUUUCUCCCUCUGCUAUUCCGGAUCCACGUGCGCCGCGGGCGCCGAGAUAUCUCCGGAGCUCUAAGUCAUGUUUUACGGUUAACAAAUAGGGUGUCGCUGAAUGUACCGCCGUGCCGCGUGAUGCUAUCGACGUCGACAAAAAUUAAGCGCUGCGAUUAUUCACGCGUGUCCCGCGCGAUCGGCGGCGCGGCGCUGCUAUUUCGGUAGCCGAGUUUCGUGCGUAAGCAGCGUACGAGCUUUUAUAUCGCGCGACGUCGCUGUCGCGAUACCGCGCGUGGCGAUAUGUAUCUGCCACGUAAGAUCGAUGCGCGUCGAAUCGAAGCCUGUGAUCAAAAUUACACAGGGAGACAGGCAGAUAAUCUUCGAUCUUAAUCUUCCACAAUUAAAAGUAUUAUCCCCUUCACUCGUGUGUAGUUAAUUUACCCAGUAGAGACCGAAACUUUAAAUUUUCGCAAUCUCCCCGAGCCCGCGGCUUUCUUCCCUGUCUAGACUCGCGUUGUAUCGCGCGCCGUGGCAUAUUUAAAAUAUGAAAUAUUUAUAUUGUUACAAGAAGAAAUUCUUCGAUUGUAUUUAUUAUACUUUCAAAUACUUUUAAGGCAGAAUACAGGAGAUUGUUGACGAUCAUUUCAACAAUGUUUUUAAACUCUUCUAAUUGCGUGUGGUAUUGGUACGAGGCACUACCGUGCCUCUUGACCACAUCGUUCUUGAGUGUAUUAAUGUGAUGAGGAACCACAUCUCAUCUCUAUAUGCAUGUGGUAUAAAUGAAAUUCCGGUUGUUUACAUUGAAACGGAAACAACUUGACAUAUUAUGUUUCUGACCAAUAAAAAAAAAAGAGAAUAAAUUUCUUUAAUCAAACGCAUAUUGCAGCGACCCGGAGAGCAAUUGCGUUUUGUGUGUCCAAUGCGUCUCGCUUGUUGUACCAGCCGCCGCGUCGCCGCGUUGGAUCCCCGUUAGCUGACGGGAAAGGAUAUACCCUAUCGUGUCGUGUCCAUGCUCUGUCCAAUGCAUAUUAAGUAGUUCUGGAAAAUCAGUUGUCGGUGGCUCGUAGCACCGAGUCUGGACGAAGGAAUUGAAUGAAUCAGCUUCUCCUGGUCGGCCUUGCAGCCUGUUUACUAGUUCGAGUGUUAGAAAUUGAAAGAUAGAUUAUUUAUAGAACCUACUAUUUUCACGAAACCUUACAAAGAUGAACUCUAAUAAUACAACUACUAAAAUGAAUGUUCUAAUCCUUUGUAUUCCGUAAGACAGCUUACGUACUUAAAAUAGUAUAUAAAAAAGAUACGCGUUUCUCCAGUUGUUUGAUAAGUUUGAUUGUAACAUUUCUAUCAAAAUUUAAUUUUAGUCUCUCUUUUGCUUGUCCAAAUAUCGCAUUAUAAAAACAGAAUUUUUUAAAGAAAGGAAAAAUGUACGCCAAGUACGAUAAAAAACAUUUGAAAUGUAUGUAUUAAAUAAAAAAAUUAAUUGCUCAAAAAUAAUUUUCAAAUCAAUCUAAUCAGCCCAGUAUCACUAAUGACAGCUUAAAUCUUAAAAAAUAAAAUCUUGCCAGUUUGCAUUUUGAUUAUACGCGCCACUGCAAUCGCGUCGCUUGAUUUGAAAAAAAUCGAAGGUGUUCGGUAUCGAUUCGUUCUCGCAUAUAUAUGUAUGAACGUAAUCGCAUUAUAGUUUACGCGAUUGCGUAUAGUUGCAUUACUGUACCUCUGUAAUGGGAGGGGCUCCGGGGGAUAGAGUGCAACGAGAGGAGAGAAAAGUUGCGAUGGAGCAAGGGGAGGAGAGAACGUUGGCGUCGCCUGGAAUGCCCGCAGACCACGAACGGUGCCGAUACGACGGGUUUACCUUUUACAGCCUACCUACCGGUCGUUUCACUCCGACCGCGCACCUUCAACGUCCACGCGUUAUAUAUCUCCCCAUCCUCCCCACGUCCCAUUGCAUCGCCGCUUUCACUGCCUUAAAAAUGCAUCUUCUCUUCGCAACACACGCAACUCUUCGAUACCAUAUGUACUUCGAUUAAUUUAAUUAUUGACCGCCACCUGCUGUCAAUAUAUAAAGAGGAGACUUAAUUAAGGAGGAUUUAUAUUAAAGGGAUGUUAUACCUUCUCGUUUCUCGAUAGAGCCUACGAGAGACGAACUGCAUCUCUCUCCGCAGAUUAUUGCGCCUGUGUAGUUAAAUCUUUAACGGAUGACUCACGAUUAGAUAGCAGAUUUAAGAAACACGUUAUUAACAUAUUCGUCACUUUAUUAAAUAGAAAAACAACUGCUAUCUAAAUAUAGAGAAAAGACUUAAUUAUAAAUUUAUAUACAAGGUAAAAAAGAAAGAGAUUUAUUAGUUUUAAGUAAUAUCGGAAACAAUAUUUUUUUUAAUAUACAAAAUAUCCCAAACUACCCCGUAUUCUUUUUAAAAAUACCGAGGGACUUGACGAAAAAAUCCCAGCGUUCCAAUCACCGGAUAAAAAAAAAACUGGUAGAGUAUUCGUAUUCAUGCGAGGCGAAAGCUACGCGAUUACACGUGUUCGGGGCCCCGAAAUCCAUUCGAUUAUACGAUUGCGCUAAGCGAAACAAUUACUCGUUUUACACAAAAUAUCUCGAUUGUGUCAUAUAUUCUUUCAUACCUACUGUAAACUUCAAUACAUUAUCUGGGGUUUUUAUGCCGCAAGACUUUUCCCCACAGAGCUAAAUAAAGGUUUAAUUCCUUGGCUCUAAAACCAGUGUACGUUAAUUUCAAACUUUACCCAUCCAUCCAAAAUCACGGAAACUCUCUGAAAGGAGAGAGUUUUCGACGAUACACCACCCUUUUCAGGGCGCAAAACAAACCGCCCUUGUAAAGGCGCAAAACAAACCGCCCUUGUAAAGGCGCAAAACAAAUCACUCUGAUCAGGGUGCGAGACAAAUCGCCCUUUUCAGGGCGCAAAACAAAUCGCCUUUUCAUGGCGCAAAACAAACCGUCUUGUGAGAGCGCAAGACAAACCACCCUUGUAAGGGCGCAAGACAAACCGCCCUUGUCAGGGUGCAAAACAAACCGCCUUUUUCAGGGCGUAAGACAAAUCGCCCUUUUCAGGGCGCAAAACAAACCGCCCUUUUCAGGGCGCAAGACGAACCAUUCGUUAGGCCGUACUUGUAAAAAAUUUUAAGAUUUUCGCGAAAAAUUAUUUACCUUUAUUUUAAGAGAAUUUAAAAGAGUUUCUGGACACCCUGUACAUCUAAAACAUACUUUCAAUUUUUUAUAUUCUGAGACUAAUUUGCUUGCUUAUAUCAUGUGCAUAAUUAUCGCGUCGGAUUAAUAUUAACGAGAAAUGACGAGAACUUUGGAAAAUAUCGACGCUCGUAGGUUGCGGAAUUUGGCGCAACGAGAUGCGACAGUAAUGAAACGUUUCAUGGUUAAGUAACAUCGCUUUUCUCCGAGAAGAUGUCAUCAUUUUCACGACGAUGUUUAUUCAUGAUCACGAUUAGCUACUUACUACGCCAGCUAGAGCCCGUUCUCCGCCCACCUCGUAAAUUUUCAUGUCCCAUUGUAUUCUUCGUUCCGUCGUGUCUUUGCAUCAUCCUUCUGUACCGCUUGAAAAGCAGCUUCUUCUUAAAAUGCCGCUUGUAUAAUACCGUAGAGAGGAAAAUAUGAAAUCGCCGCGCGGUAUUUUGAAAUCUAUUUAUUGGCUUCAGAAACUCCAAAUGAAUUAUAGGAUCAUUGGAGAUAAUUGGCAAUUAUUCUAUGGCAUUCUACAGCGUAUGGGAUUAACCCACACUAACGUCCCGAAAUAAAUUACACGCGGAGGGAUCCUUCGCUCGAUCGUGCCUCGAUCGGCGAUUGCUAUUGAUCAGCUCGACCGAAUCGACUUGCCUGGCCUGGCAAGUGAUCCUAACCAGACUUCCAUGUUCACCGACGCAUUAUCGCCGCUGCCGAGACUAUCUCCUCAUAGAGCACCGAAACCACAAGCGACCGAGGGUCGAUCGGCUCGAGUAUUGGUAUAUUAAAUGAGUCGAGGAAUAAGCAUAUUGCGCCGCGUGUAUGUACAUACAUACAUUGGAAAGCCGGCAACAACGUACCCAAGGCAAGCGUGGCCGCGGUCAUGCAUUGCAGGCGGCGGGCGCCCAUUUGCUCCGUCGGGUUAUCUUAAUAGGAUUUCGAUAGUCUGAUUCUAUCUUCUCGUGCUACCAAGCGCCCAGAGAAAACAACUAGCGUAUCCAUAUCCAUCGUGUCUUUUAAAUCGCUACUUAAAUUGAUAGAAUUCUUUCCGUCUCACAUUGAUUUAUAUGCGAUGUGUAUUUUUAAUUACAUUCAAAAAAUGGAAAGAAAAUUUUUGUCUACACACAAGUUGUCCCUUUAUAGCGCAUAUUAAUACUUUUAACGCGAUAAAAAUCUCCUCUCACUCUCGUCUGAGGAGUAUCUCAGAAAUUGUCGCGUUUAAGAUCUGCGCCACUCGGGCGACACUCCGUAAUCUCUACGCAUUUCAAGACCGAAGGGAGUAGACUCCGACAAGUAUCACGUUGCAACUCGGCUCGAUAAGUGCUGAUCGUAAAUAACAGUUGCACGUUUCGAACAUACCGGAAACAUUAAUAGUCACCCUACGCAUACCAAAACCGCGGACGGUCAUCGGAAUCGAUCUAAUAAUUCCCCUCGCCACGGCGGCGAUCGUUAAUUAAUGUUCUCUUCAGAGACACUCAUAUUCGAGGGUGAAGGCUCAGACUUUAAGCGCCCGACGGUAUUAGCACUCGAUCCAAUUUCUCAGUUUAACGAGCGCAAUCUGGUCGAAGGCAGUCCGAAACGACGUGGACGUGGACGCGCGCGUGAUAAACACGCCGGGCUCAAGGCAACCGCCCACGAGCGGAUAGCUCGUUAGUGACAGAUGCGAUUUGACCCAUUAGCACAAUCACGUGCGCCGCGUCCCCGCCUUCUCCUCAUCCUUCUCUGCCUCGUCUUCUCCUCUUCUCGUGUCUCCUAACGUAACACGGCUAACGGAACUCGCGGACGCAGACCGGAAGAGAGCACCGCGCUUCGGAAUGCCGACGCGUGCCACAUCGCUCGACGUGUCCCGCGUGUGCCCAUAUACGAAGGGCCUCCGUACUCUCCGCGCGUACUCUUGCCUACGACGAUUCCUCCGCCACGCCGGGUUGGAAUUCUCAGAUCCCCGGUAUGGAAUAGAGCCAAGGAUGGGCAAGGACUUCUUGCCAGCUCCGCGGCACGCGCGCUGCGUUCAUAAAGUUACGUGGACGGGGACGUCCCGGAACCGCCGCUGUGCAUAAUUUAAUUCUCCCGCGGCGUACGAAUCCGUUUGAUUCAUUUCACGUGCCACGUGACAAAUUUAAUUAAAAUUAUAGAAGAGACCUGUUUGUACAUCUUAAGCGUUUCGUAUAGAAAGAUCAUUGAAUAACACAUUUCCACGGAGAUUUUGAUUUAAACUGUACAAGUGAGAGGAUUUCGUGCGUAUAAAUGCGUAUACGAGCGUAAAGAAAAUCACUCCUUUCUCUGUUUUUCCCGUGAUUAACGAUGUUCCGGAUCACGAACUUGACUACACAAGAUCCCGAGCCACGUAAAAACAACUCAUGAAAUAUUCAGGUCCCCGUUCGGAUCUCUCUAACAAAUAGACGAGCGGAACCGAAAGGAUUAAGUGCAUCUCAUCCAACGGUCGGCCCGGUUCGUCGAACCGAGUCGCGACGAACGGCGCACAAUGACUCUAACGAGCCGCCGUAAGGCCUGCCGGUGUCCCGGUCUCUCUCUCUCUCUCUCUCUCUCUCCCUUGACAGAGAUUCGGGAUAAGGCCGAACGCGAGAAGAGUAAGGUUAACGCACCCUGCAGAAGAAUACGGUACCCCGAAAUGGAACGCCGCGUAGGACGACACUCCUGCUGCAGACACCCACGCACUCCUGUCUUAUGUCCAGGACCAUGUCGUCGAGCUCGCAAAUACGCGGCCGCGUGAAUGGCCACGUUGAGUUUCUAAGGGUGCGUUCGUUUUGAACGCUCACGCGCUAUAAGCGCUAUUUUUCACCGUUCCUUUUUAGAAUUUAAGCUUAUACGACUGCAAGUAAAGUCGUUCCCUUUGGCUCUUGUGAGCAUUGUGAGCGUGUCAAGAUGGCGAAAAAUAACAAUAUAUCACAGGAAGAAUAGCGCGAAUAUUGUAACAUCAUAUUAAAAGAUGGAAAUUGAAAGAGAAUUAAUUUCUGUAUUAUGUUUGCUAAUAAUAAUGACUCUUUUAUUGACGAAGGCGAUUGUUAUAUUUAUAGUAAACAAUUAGAAAUUAUUAUUAUUAUUCGUCUUAAGGAAACUUUGAUAAAGCAUCGAAUAUUAUGAUUGAAAAAUUUGAAACAGACCUAAUAUUUGCAAAUAUCAAUUUUGUUUUUGUCAUCAAUUUAUUAAAUCUAACUUUUGGUUUCUAAUUAGAAUAAAACAAUCUACUUUUUAUUUAUAUGUAUUAUGUAAUAGUUACAUUUAAGGAUCGUUUAAAAAUCGAAAAUUCGAGAGAGAAAUCACAUUUAAACAAAUUAUAGAUAGAAAAUUAUCAAAUCGCUUGUUAUAUAACCAAUUAGGUGAUUUUCAUAAUUAGCUGUGCUAAUUUGUUGAUUAAGUCCUUAUUGCGAUAAUACACAGCGUUUAUUUUGGACGCUUAUAAGUUAUAAGCAUUCACGCUUUCGCUGCCCUACCUCGAUGGAAUAAAUAUUUUUGAGUGCGAUAUAUGACGUCACGAUGACGUCAUGAAUGUGUCUCAUGAGCGCUUACAAUUGCCAAAGCAAAUGGUAUAAGCGCUGUAAGCGUUUCAAAACAAACACACCCUAGAAGAAAAAAAUGCGCAUAAUAUAUCUCUCUCGUAUUCUUCGCAAAGGGGAUGUGACCUUGUUGCCGGCCGACGCGCCGAGAUUUAUCGACUUAUCGUUUGUUACGAGAAGGAACCAGCUCGUCCUUCGCGCGCUGAAUAGAUAUCCGCCGCUUGUCACACCGAUGGUGAUAAUGUAUAGCCGGAUGCUGUUGAAAGCGUUGGCUCGGCGGCGACAGAAUGCAGGAUUCGAAAGACACGUAUUGUCUUUUUGUCGCUACGACGCGAGUCGUCCCGCGCGAUUGUGCCUAAAGGAUUAAAAAAAUAUUGGUAUCCUUCCUCAAAUUUCGGUGGAUUCUGUGGAUUUGCGAUGUAGCUUCGCUAAAUUACUUCUCCGUUAUUUAUUAUAGAUUGAAAUAAUGGUACAAAGUUGUGAUUUAAUAAUGAUCAAAUUGAAUUUCUAGAAUUAAAAUUAAAAAUGAUAAUAUAUCAAAGUUUUGUUCAUAAUAUUGUAUAUAUCAAAAGUUACAUUUUAGAUAUUGUAUCAAAUUUUUUCAAUCAUACAUAGAUUAUUAUCUGAGUUAUUAAGUUUUUGCAGAUUUUUUUACUCGUUUUCACUUUGAUCUAUUGUGAACAUCUAUUGCGCGGCGGUUCAAAUGCUCAUUGUUCGCGCUUGUCAGAAAGCCGACAGGUCGUCGUGCCAAAUAAGGUUGCUCACCCCGGGGAUGCAAUCUCCGCGGCAUUCGAGGCAAGGGUCCAGCCCUUGCCGAGAUCUCGCAUAGAAUUUUCGGCUCGACCCUUAUCUUAAUCGACGGAUCUAAGGCGUUACGGAGCCGCGAACAGCGACGAGCGAAAAAAAAAAAAAAAUGAGCAAAUCGAGGAACGAUGGGCGAGGCGAGGCUGAAAGCGAGGGCUUUGCUCCCUUGAGAACCGCAAAUUAGGCUUGCGACCGACAGAGAUAGCGAAAGAUCAUCGAGGAAGAAUUCCGACAGGCGGGUGCCCGCCAUACAUCUUGCUCCACUCGACAGCCCGUCUAAGAAAAAAUAAAAAAAGGAGCCGUGACCGAUUACUAAUUAAUGUCAAUCAGCUUCCAAGCGUAAUUAUUCGGCGCGUUAUGGGCGCGCUCGCAAUUAGAUGUCCGCGUAUGUAACGUCUGAUGACCGUUGCGUCAAAUAUUUAUACAAUCGCGUAAUUAUUCCCGCGUCAAACGUAAUUCGCUCCGCAUCGCCAAUGUGGGAGAGAUCGUUAGGGGCCUACUUCGCCGCCUUCGCGCUUCAAGGAAGGACAAACCAAGUUUGUGCAUCACGUUCGGGUCACUGAUGGUGGUAUACUGAUGGAGCAGACCGUUAUGAGUCGGUAUGAGCCGCAGGGGGAGAGGCAUUAUGCAUAGCUACGGGCGUAAUCCCGAGCUACUUCUAAGAAACGAUCGCUCAUUGAUCCUCAGUCCUCCCUCGCCUCCCUCGCCCCCCUCCGUCCCCGGCGACACGGGUCACGUCUGGAUAACGGUCCCCCCGGCAAAAGGACACGUGCCUCUAAACUGCGCGCACAGGCUAAUCAACCUGACACUCGCGUAGGAAACCGCUAUUGUGAUCGGGCGAUUCCUUCCGUGCGCGGCGGAUUGACGGCUGUCUUACGGUAAAUCCUCCGGAUAUAGGGCCUUCGUGCGAACGAAAUGAGACACGAAUAAGGACGACCGGAAUACGGUUUAUCGAUGUGUCGGAGCGUUUGACCCCUGCUCGCGCCGAGAUGGAUUCGAUCGUAGCGAGAUUUAUGGUGAUUCUCUCCAAUUUUUUGCGCUAGACCGCCAGCGUCUCGCGAGCCGGACGGACCAUCUUCCAAGGAAGAUUUAUCGCUACAAGACGGUACAUUAGCGUUUAUCGGAAUCUGCGGUGUUCCCGUCGCGUUUACGACGCGAAAUACAUUCUCGGAAAAAUCUCGUACUCCUUGACACGCGCGAAUGCGUGUCUCAAUCCACGCGGGUUUAUCGUCGCGUCAUCGUUUAACAUAGUCGGUCAAGGAACGCGCGAUCGUCGCAACGGCGCGGCGGCUCGUCCGUCGUAUAAUUUAUGAACACCGCAGCCGUAACGUAACGUAAUCUUAAUAGUCCAUUACCUCGUGAAUCAUCAAACAUACAGGUUUAUUAACGCGAACGUUUGCAAGAUUGCACGAAGGGGAAAAGACCUUAAUUAGGCGAUCGAGCUCGCGCGCUUGUGUGUGCAUGUGAAGUUCGUUCGGUGAAGCUGUACUUUCUCUGUUCUUCGCGCCGCGAGUCUCGGUUUCAACGGUCGUUAAAAUUUUGCACGAUGAGCUACUGACCGGUAAGUUGCUGUCGCUACCGUAACGAGAGUUUCGCAGUGCGUCUAUCCGCGUCGAGAGCCCUUCGAUCAGGGCGAUCGUCGCAACCAAUCACCCUUUCCCUCUUGAAAUAACGAAAUAAAAGCGUUAUUAAUAAAUGCACAACGAAGUAUUUCGAAAAAUCGCGAAUAAAUAAACUUAAGAGACUAAAACUUAUUUCGCCACGCGCCUUACGUCGUCUCGUAAUUUGGCGACUUGAUUUUCCAUGCGUUCACACUUCUCAGCGCGUCUAUCCGCGUCGAUAGGCCCCUCAGGGCGAUCGUCGCAACCAAUAACCCUACCCCCUUGAAAUAAAGAAGUAAAAGCAUUAUUUGACUACAACUCGAUUAAGUAAUACCGUUCAUUAAACUCAGCCGUUUUUAUCUAAAAUAAAAAAA